GGGGCUGUGGCUCAGCGGUAGAGCACUUGUCUCACAUGUGUGAAGCCCUGGGUUCAAUCCUCAGCAUCACAA
Ictidomys tridecemlineatus (thirteen-lined ground squirrel) is the source of this 72-nucleotide non-coding RNA. The record is from Rfam. Lineage: Eukaryota; Metazoa; Chordata; Mammalia; Rodentia; Sciuridae.